This 133-nucleotide ribosomal RNA is filed under the name Salmonella enterica subsp. enterica serovar Javiana. RNAcentral describes it as "partial 16S ribosomal RNA". It matches the Rfam family "Bacterial small subunit ribosomal RNA", at positions 1401 to 1533 of the family's 1533-position model. Lineage: Bacteria; Pseudomonadati; Pseudomonadota; Gammaproteobacteria; Enterobacterales; Enterobacteriaceae. The record is from RNAcentral.
ACCAUGGUAGUUGGUUGCAAAAGAAGUAGGUAGCAUAACCUUCGGGAGGGCGCUUACCACUUUGUGAUUCAUGACUGGGGUGAAGUCGUAACAAUGUAACCGUAGGGGAACCUGCGGUUGGAUCACCUCCUUA